Long non-coding RNA from Olea europaea var. sylvestris, 548 nucleotides. RefSeq lists it as uncharacterized. Lineage: Eukaryota; Viridiplantae; Streptophyta; Magnoliopsida; Lamiales; Oleaceae. The transcript has 2 exons. The record is from RefSeq and is a predicted model, not a curated record.
UAAAUUUUCUAGACAGAAAUCGAAAAUGAAUUUUAUACACGUGCUGUGUAUCGUGAGAAGUAACUCGAGCAAUCAACAGGUUUCUUAUGAGAUUUACAGCAGAUGAAAGUGAAAUCAACUUAGCAAAUGGUGAAGCAAAACCAGAAUUCUCAGACUGGAAAUGGGCAACCCCGGAAGAAGUCAUUGAGCAGGCAGUGGAUUACAAGAGGCCAUCAUAUGAGAAAGUUAUGGAAGCCUUCCAGCCUCACUUCAAUUCAAGAAAAGCUACAAAAUCCUAUUCAUCAAAGUGGUAAUAUAUAUUGUCUGAGGUUUGCUAUUAAUAGCAUAAUGGCAUGUUUGGUCAGAUUUAUUGGUCAGUAUUAAAGAAGGAAAAGAAACUAAGAUUUUGUCGCCUGUCAUGUCUAGUUUUGUCUUAUAUAAUGUUGCCUAAUUGUUUAUGUUUGACGAGUUUGGAAAUGUUGAAUUUCACCUGAAUCUCUGUAAAUAUAUACCAGUAUCGAACUUUCAGGAUUUGAAUGUUAUGUUUAAUAAAUUGUUUCAUUAAGAUA